CGGGGCGGGGUGCUAUACAUGCAAGUCGAGCGCGGGAAGCGAGUGGAAGUCCUUCGGGACGGAUACUCGUGGAACGAGCGGCGGACGGGUGAGUAACACGUGGGCAACCUACCUGUAAGACCGGAAUAACCCCGGGAAACCGGGGCUAAUGCCGGGUAACCAUUCGGUUCUCCUGAACCGAAUGUAAAAGGAUGGCUUCUUGCUAUCGCUUACAGAUGGGCCCGCGGCGCAUUAGCUAGUUGGUAAGGUAACGGCUUACCAAGGCGACGAUGCGUAGCCGACCUGAGAGGGUGAUCGGCCACACUGGGACUGAGACACGGCCCAGACUCCUACGGGAGGCAGCAGUAGGGAAUCUUCCGCAAUGGACGAAAGUCUGACGGAGCAACGCCGCGUGAACGAUGAAGGUCUUCGGAUCGUAAAGUUCUGUUGUGAGGGAAGAACAAGGAUCGUGCGAACAGAACGGUCCCUUGACGGUACCUCACGAGGAAGCCCCGGCUAACUACGUGCCAGCAGCCGCGGUAAUACGUAGGGGGCAAGCGUUGUCCGGAAUUAUUGGGCGUAAAGCGCACGCAGGCGGUUCCUUAAGUCUGAUGUGAAAGCCCGUGGCUCAACCACGGAGGGCCAUUGGAAACUGGGGAACUUGAGAACUGAAGAGGAGAGUGGAAUUCCACGUGUAGCGGUGAAAUGCGUAGAUAUGUGGAGGAACACCAGUGGCGAAGGCGACUCUCUGGUCGGUUUCUGACGCUGAGGUGCGAAAGCGUGGGUAGCAAACAGGAUUAGAUACCCUGGUAGUCCACGCCGUAAACGAUGAGUGCUAGGUGUUAGGGGGCUUCCACCCCUUAGUGCUGAAGUUAACGCAUUAAGCACUCCGCCUGGGGAGUACGGCCGCAAGGCUGAAACUCAAAGGAAUUGACGGGGGCCCGCACAAGCGGUGGAGCAUGUGGUUUAAUUCGAAGCAACGCGAGAACCUUACCAGGUCUUGACAUCCUUGGCUACUUCUAGAGAUAGAAGUUCCCUUCGGGGACAAGUGACAGUGGUGCAUGGUGUCGUCAGCUCGUGUCGUGAGAAUGGUUGGGUUAAGUCCCGCA
This 1088-nucleotide ribosomal RNA is filed under the name Salimicrobium sp. C6. RNAcentral describes it as "bacterial SSU rRNA". It matches the Rfam family "Bacterial small subunit ribosomal RNA", at positions 36 to 1091 of the family's 1533-position model. The record is from RNAcentral. Lineage: Bacteria; Bacillati; Bacillota; Bacilli; Caryophanales; Bacillaceae.